CAGUUAGGUUAAGAAGAGUUGGAUAAGAAACUUUAACGAUGUUCAACGGAAAGCUGCAACUAAACACUAGGACAGGACAAACAACAGUUCAACUGUUAAACGGUAGCCUACUGCUGACUACAGUUAGUGAAGUUAUAGUGUAUGCAGGACAAACUUAGUGCGUUUUGUCCCAAUUAACGUUGUGGAUUCAGUUAUCCUGGGUGGUGAAUACUUUCUGUUGAUAAAAUGGAGCUGCUUCGACUGCUGCUCAUUGGUGCUUGUGGAUGCCUUCAUCUUGUCUGGAAACUGACAUUUGAAUGCUGUGCUGUUCCAUAGUUAAGGAAGUAAAGGACAAACGGCAUGGGACCGCAAGGCCUAAUGAUGGAGACACAUUCCUACUUCCCCUGCUCAUUCUUGGAUUUCACUUCUGUCUCUUCCUGAAAACAUGACAACAGAGUGUGUGGGAUGGAGACAUACUGUACAUUAAAUGCAGAAUCUCAUUCAAAUUGGGGGCGAAAAGGCAGGUCAACCAUAUGAGCCUCGAGCCAGCAGAGCCUGUAAACCGAUCCUCGUAGUCUAAGCACAUCCUCUGUGUUG
Molecule: long non-coding RNA, 576 nt
Organism: Notothenia coriiceps (black rockcod)
Lineage: Eukaryota; Metazoa; Chordata; Actinopteri; Perciformes; Nototheniidae
Exons: 5
Source: RefSeq, a predicted model, not a curated record